Molecule: ribosomal RNA, 300 nt
Filed under: Euantedon sp. EUA470
Lineage: Eukaryota; Metazoa; Echinodermata; Crinoidea; Comatulida; Antedonidae
Description: partial 16S ribosomal RNA
Rfam family: Bacterial large subunit ribosomal RNA
Source: RNAcentral
AAUAAAAAAAUCUUUGGUUGGGGCAACCACGAAGAAAAAAAAACCUUCGUUCUUUUUAAAAAUAAACAAAUUUAAAAUUAAAUUAUUUUGAUCCAGAAAAUCUGAUUAAAGAAAAAAGUUACCGCAGGGAUAACAGCGUUAUUUUCUUUAAGAGUUCUUAUUGACAAGAAAGUUUGCGACCUCGAUGUUGGACCGGGGUACCCAAGAGGUGCAAAAGCCUCUAAAGGUAGGUCUGUUCGACCUUUAAAACCCUACGUGAUCUGAGUUCAGACCGACCCAAGUCAGGUCUGUUUCUAUCUA